This is a long non-coding RNA of Bactrocera latifrons, 1449 nucleotides long. RefSeq lists it as uncharacterized. The transcript has 4 exons. The record is from RefSeq and is a predicted model, not a curated record. Lineage: Eukaryota; Metazoa; Arthropoda; Insecta; Diptera; Tephritidae.
AUAUGAUUAUUACUUUUUUUAUUUUAAAAGUUGUGGUUGAGUUUUGGGGUGACACCUUCAAAAUCCGCCCCGGGUGUCACCUAUGCUAGCUACGCCACUGACUCCGUUCAACCAAAUCAACUUAAACCAACGGCUUAAAAAAAGUUGUAUUACAAAUUUGGCGUAUUUUCGUUAAACUACUACUAGAUUAAAGGAAGUUCUUCGCAGCACAAUCGCAAUGGUAAGGCAGUAGAAUCAGCUGAUUGUGCAGUAGCAACCACAGCCGGCAAGAAUGCAGCAGGGUUGCACAAAAUUACUGCGUUUACGAACUAACCCAAUAUUACUUGAGGAGGAGAGCAAUGCAUCCGAUAAUGCCGUGGCCAGAAUUGAAAGGAGAAGAUUGCGAGAUAUGUGCAAUCCUUUUGAGAUGAGUGCCAAAUUGUAAGAAAUUGAGUUGAAAGUGAUAAAUUGUAUUUUUUUUUUAAUAAUUUAUUUACUUAUUUAGGUUCAAAAAAACUUUACACUUAACAAGGACGAUUUCAAGUAUGGCCUAGAUAGUUUUGUGGAAGAAACUCGAGCACGUACUUUGACGUCUUUAUCUCCGCUUAAUCGAAUAGUUGCUGCUUUGAGAUUUUUUGCGGAAGGCAGUUACCAACCAACGUAGCAAUGGGUCAGUCAACAGUGUCAAAGUCACUAUCGAAUUUUCUCGAUGUCAUGGAAAGAAAGCUUUGCCGUGAGUGGAUAAAAUUUGAGCAGACCGACGAGGAAAAAAAAACAAACAGAACAGGAGUUUUAUGCGAAGGCAGGCUUCCCAGGAGUCAUAAUGUGCGUUGAUGGUACGCAUAUAAAAAUAAUCAAACCGUCUGAAGAGGGUUUUCUAUACUACAAUAGAAAAGGAUUUUACAGCAUCAAUGCUAUGGUGGUAGCCGAUAACAGAUUACGUAUAAAAAGCAUUGAUGCGCGGUAUCCUGGAUACAUAUAUCACGACUCGCAUGUAUGGGGAUUGAGCAAGUUGAACUUUCAGAUUUAACGGCGAUAUCGAGAAGGUGAAAGAAAUACAUGGCUGUUAGGCGAUGCUGGGUAUCCAUUGCAGCCUUGGCUAAUAACUCCGUAUCGAUCCUUAAAUCAUGGCAGCCAAAAAAGUGGUUACAAUACUCCAAAACGAGAAAUAUUAUAGAGCGGACAAUUGGGGUCUUGAAGAAUCGUUUUCGAUGCUUGUUGGGUGCUCGAGAACUACACUACUCGCCGGAAAAAGCAUGUCAAAUUGUAAACGUUGCUUGUACCCUCCAUAAUAUUUGCAUCUACUACAAAGUGGAUGAUUUGAGCGUAAAUGAAUUCGAUUUUGAAAACCGUGAGGAGGAGAAAGAAGAACAAAGCAAUGACCCAAAUUAUGCUUCCAUAGCAAACCGUAUUAGAGACAACAUACUUUCUUCUUCUUCUUCUUGAUUGGCGUAGUCACCGCUUACGCAA